Molecule: transfer RNA, 75 nt
Filed under: Clostridia bacterium
Lineage: Bacteria; Bacillati; Bacillota; Clostridia
Description: tRNA-Thr
Rfam family: tRNA
About the family: Transfer RNA (tRNA) molecules are approximately 80 nucleotides in length. Their secondary structure includes four short double-helical elements and three loops (D, anti-codon, and T loops).
Source: RNAcentral
GCUAGAGUAGCACAGUGGUAGUGCAGCUGAUUCGUAAUCAGCAGGUCGUGAGUUCAAUCCUCAUCUCUAGCUCCA